Molecule: ribosomal RNA, 446 nt
Filed under: uncultured prokaryote
Description: bacterial SSU rRNA
Rfam family: Bacterial small subunit ribosomal RNA
Source: RNAcentral
UCGAGAAUCUUCGGCAAUGAGCGCAAGCUUGACCGAGCGACGCCGCGUGCGGGAUGAAGGCCUUCGGGUUGUAAACCGCUGUCAGAGGGGAUGAAAUGCAGGGGGGUUCUCCCCCUUGUUUGACAAAGCCUCAGAGGAAGUCCGGGCUAAGUUCGUGCCAGCAGCCGCGGUAAUACGAACCGGACAAACGUUAUUCGGAAUCAUUGGGCUUAAAGGGUGCGUAGGCGGCACGGCAGGUUGGAUGUGAAAUCCCUCGGCUCAACCGAGGAACUGCGUCCAAAACCGCCGCGCUAGAGGGAGACAGAGGUAAGCGGAACUGAUGGUGGAGCGGUGAAAUGCGUUGAUAUCAUCAGGAACACCAGUGGCGAAAGCGGCUUACUGGGUCUUUUCUGACGCUGAGGCACGAAAGCUAGGGUAGCGAACGGGAUUAGAUACCCCUGUAGUCC